Oncorhynchus mykiss (rainbow trout) is the source of this 2296-nucleotide long non-coding RNA. The record is from Ensembl. Lineage: Eukaryota; Metazoa; Chordata; Actinopteri; Salmoniformes; Salmonidae.
AGGAUGUCAUUAGAUUGAUGAAGAUGAGGACAACGAAACGUAUUUAAUUUAACUGUUGAAAGCGAGGAAGCAAUGAAGUAAUAAUAGAGAGAGAAACAGGUAGGCUAAUCACAUGGAGGGAAAUAUUAUGAAAGCAAUAUCUGAGUGAGCCUAAUAAUUAUACAAUUAGGCCCUAUUAUAUUUCAAAAUUAAAAUCCAAUCCGCUAGCCUAUACUUGUAACUCUGUAGGCCGCAUGUGCUGCCCCAGAAUCGUAUGUUCUCUCCCAGCUUUAUCAUGGUUUGAACGAUGUGUGUAACUCCAGUCCUUAUAAUACAUUAUAAUACAGUACAGUAAUACAGUUCACACUGAAAAAGAUUAGCCUACUGGAGCUAGUUUCCUAUAUUUACCCAAGAGAGUAUAUAGCUAGCUACAUCUAUGGGCUGUUAUGUUAUUCUGUGGUGUGCAAUGUGCAGUAGACUAUAUCAUAAUAUACAGUAUGUAUUUAAUGUAGGGCUCAUUAAAUGUCUUUACUGUAGAGCUCAUGUUCUUCUGUGGUGUGUAAUGUGCAGUAGACUAUAUCAUAAUAUACAGUAUGUUUUUGAUGACACAUGAUAUCACAUGUACUGCAUAUGUAUUGGAUAACAUCACAAUCAUCAAGGCUUGGGCUCAUUAAAUGUCUUUAAUAAUGUAGGGCUCAUUAAAUGUAUUUAAUAAUGUAGGGCUCAUUAAAUGUCUUUAAUAUAGGGCUCAUUAAAAGUCUUUGAUAUAGGGCUCAUUAAAUGUCCUUAAUGUAGGACUCAUUAAAUGUCUUUAAUGUAGGACUCAUUAAAUGUCUUUAAUAAUGGAGGGCUCAUUAAAUGUCUUUAAUGUAGGACUCAUUAAAUGUCUUUAAUAAUGUAGGGCUCAUUAAAUGUCUUUAAUAAUGUAGGGCUCAUUAAAUGUCUUUAAUAUAGGACUCAAAAAAUGUCUUUAAUAUAGGGCUCAUUAAAUGUAUUUAAUAUAGGGCUCAUUAAAUGUCUUUAAUAAUGUAGGGCUCAUUAAAUGUCUUUAAUAAUGUAGGGCUCAUUAAAUGUCUUUAACAUAGGGCUCAUUAAAUGUCUUUAAUGUAGGGCUCAUUAAAUGUCUUUAAUAUAGGGCUCAUUAAAUGUCUUUAAUAUAGGGCUCAUUAAAUGUCCUUAAUGUAGGGCUCAUUAAAUGUCUUUAAUAAUGUAGGGCUCAUUAAAUGUCUUUAAUGUAGGACUCAUUAAAUGUCUUUAAUGUAGGACUCAUUAAAUGUCUUUAAUAAUGUAGGGCUCAUUAAAUGUCUUUAAUGUAGGACUCAUUAAAUGUCUUUAAUAAUGUAGGGCUCAUUAAAUGUCUUUAAUAAUUUAGAGCUAAUUAAAUGUCUUUAAUAUAGGACUCAAUAAAUGUCUUUAAUAUAGGGCUCAUUAAAUGUCUUUAAUGUAGGGCUCAUUAAAUGUCUUUAAUAAUGUAGGGCUCAUUAAAUGUCUUUAAUGUAGGGCUCAUUAAAUGUCUUUAAUGUAGGAAUCAUUAAAUGUCUUUAAUAAUGUAGGGCUCAUUAAAUGUCUUUAAUAAUGUAGGGCUCAUUAAAUGUCUUUAAUGUAGGACUCAUUAAAUGUCUUUAAUGUAGGACUCAUUAAAUGUCUUUAAUAUAGGGCUCAUUAAAUGUCUUGAAUGUAGGGCUCAUUAAAUGUCUUUAAUUUAGGGCUCAUUAAAUGUCUUUAAUGUAGGGCUCAUUAAAUGUCUUUAAUGUAGAGCUCAUUAAAUGUCUUUAAUGUAGGACUCAUUAAAUGUAUUUCAUGUAGGGCUCAUUAAAUGUAUUUAAUGUAGGGCUCAUUAAAUGUCUUUAAUGUAGGACUCAUUAAAUGUCUUUAAUGUAGGACUCAUUAAAUGUCUUUAAUGUAGGACUCAUUAAAUGUCUAAUGUAGGACUCAUUAAAUGUCUAAUGUAGGGCUCAUUAAAUGUCUAAUGUAGGGCUCUGGAGUUAGGGUCAGAAUAGGGGUUAGAGUCAGAAUAGGGGUUAGGGUUCGAAUAGGAGUUAGGGUCAGAAUAGGGGUUAGGGUAAGAACAGGGGUUAGGUUAAGGUCAGAAUAGGGGUUAAGUUAGGGUAAAAAUCGGGGUUCGAGUCAGAAUAGGGGUUAGAGUUAGAAUAGGGGUUAGGUUAAGGUCAGAACAGGGUUAGAGUGAGAAUAGGGUUAGGGUCAGAAUAGAGGUUAGGUUAUCGUCAGAACAGGGGUUAGGUUAUGGUCAGAAUAGAGGUUAGAGUCAGAAUAGGGGUUAGGGUCAGAAUAGGGUUAGGGUCAGAAUAGGGUUUAG